AUGGCGCUGCUCCGGCUCCUCCCCCGCUUGCUGCCAGGUCUGUCUUUCCUUCAUUCCCUCCUUGCCGUCCUGUGCGGCGGUGGACGAGGCUACCAGAUGUCGCGAAGCCAACCUCCUAACACCGGCAGUUGCACUGCACCUGCGAAAAAAGAACAAUCAAAAGUCAAAAUCAAAAAAUGGGAAGUUCAGAAUCAGAACAAUCACAAGUCUUCACUCACGUACUUGCAAAAAUCGCUAGGCUGUAGCUCGUAUGUUGUUUGCAACCACCUUCAAUUUCUUGAGUAUCUUGUACACAUUUUGCCAAAAGCUAGUACUUUUAGAAUAGUAAAGUUGAUAGGUGGGGAUAACCAGGUUGAUGGCAAUUGA
RNAcentral lists this ribosomal RNA (366 nucleotides) under Triticum aestivum (bread wheat). RNAcentral's name for it is "partial small subunit ribosomal RNA". Lineage: Eukaryota; Viridiplantae; Streptophyta; Magnoliopsida; Poales; Poaceae. The record is from RNAcentral.